Molecule: ribosomal RNA, 642 nt
Filed under: uncultured fungus
Lineage: Eukaryota; Fungi
Description: eukaryotic LSU rRNA
Rfam family: 5.8S ribosomal RNA (bases 249-402)
Source: RNAcentral
GGAAGGAUCAUUAUUGAAUAAACUUGAGCAGGCUGUUGCUGGUCCCCCCAGGGGGAUAUUGUGCACGCUUGUCAUCUUUAUUUCUCCCACUGUGCACAUAUUGUAGAUCCUGGAGGUUAUUAUUGAUAGAUUGAGGACUGCUGUAAAGCUUUUCUUGCUUCUCCAGGUCUAUGUUAUUUUUUCACAAUCUCUGAACAUGUCUAGAAUGUUGAAUUGGGUCUUUGUACCUAUAUAAAGUUUAAAUAUACAACUUUCAGCAACGGAUCUCUUGGCUCUCGCAUCGAUGAAGAACGCAGCGAAAUGCGAUAAGUAAUGUGAAUUGCAGAAUUCAGUGAAUCAUCGAAUCUUUGAACGCAUCUUGCGCUCCUUGGUAUUCCGAGGAGCAUGCCUGUUUGAGUGUCAUUAAGUUCUCAACUACACCAAUUCUUAUCAUUGGUUGUGGCUUGGAUAGUGGGGGUGUUAUUUUUGCAGGCUUUUAAUUUAGUCUGCUCCCCUGAAAUGUAUUAGUGGUAUCUGAGCAGAACUACUACAGGUGUGAUAAUUAUCUAUGCCUUGGUGGACUUGCAUAAACAGAUUAAAUUGCUUCUAACAAGUGAAAACCUUUAAAAGUUUCACCUUUGACAAAUUUGACCUCAAAUCAGG